AUGCAAUUCAGAAGUCCCACAGGACUCAAUGCAAAGUUGGGGUUUUGCCUCCUGUGGGGACUGAGGAGAGGUGAGAGAAACAGAGUAAAAAAAAAUAAAAUAAUAAAUCAUUCCUAGAACAACAACUAUAGUUAUGGAUUAUAAGCUAUGAAGUAGACCAAAAAAAGAGUAAGAAGGCUUACCCAAUUACAAAUUACAGUUGUUUGAACACUGAGCAGCUUAAGGGAGCAAACGGUACCAUCAGUCUCAUCCAGAGCUACAAACCACUGCUGAGGUAAAAUCUGUUGGCUGGUAGUAGCAUCAUGAAAAUAUUAAUCCUAGCCGUUAAUCCUUCUGAUUUAUAGGUAUUACACAAAUCACGUUGCUGAUUUUUCUAAGCCUGCUGUUAGGAGUGGCCACGUACCGUUCACCUUCAGAGAGUGGCUUGUUGAGAACGCCACCGAUGGGCUGACUGCCUUGGGAGUGUUUCAGAUGGAAUACAGACUGCAAAAAUUGAGCCUGAAAAUUGCAUCAGAAAUGGGAAUUUCUCAGGUCACGAUGGUGUAUUUGGCAGCAGAAGUGGUGACUCUGUCAUAAAUAACUCUGAUGUUUCUACACCUCUGUUACACCCUUGCUUUUGCGAGUGCUGGAAUUCAGGUGAGUUUGUGGUGGACUGGGGAAUUGACACAGGAAAAAAGUAGUAGCUAUGACUGAAUGACUCCCUGAGAUGUGG
This 712-nucleotide long non-coding RNA is filed under the name Calidris pugnax (ruff). Its description in RNAcentral is "lncRNA (ENSCPUG00000016854.1)". Lineage: Eukaryota; Metazoa; Chordata; Aves; Charadriiformes; Scolopacidae. The record is from RNAcentral.